AAGUCGUAACAAGGUAUCCGUAGGUGAACCUGCGGAUGGAUCAUUACCGUAUUUGGUCAUGAGUGAUGUGAAUGGUUCUGGUGGUUAAAACAGCAUACUUAGGCGCUAUUGAAAAAUACAACUUUCAGCAACGGAUCUCUUGGCUCUC
This 148-nucleotide unclassified non-coding RNA is filed under the name fungal sp. RNAcentral describes it as "partial internal transcribed spacer region". The stretch from base 1 to 46 matches the Rfam family "Eukaryotic small subunit ribosomal RNA", at positions 1786 to 1831 of the family's 1831-position model. Lineage: Eukaryota; Fungi. The record is from RNAcentral.